GCCUGGGUGGCUCAGACGGUUGAGUGUCUGACUUCGGCUCAGGUCGUGAUCUUAUGAUUUGUGAGUUUGAGCCCCACAUCAGGCU
RNAcentral lists this transfer RNA (85 nucleotides) under Felis catus (domestic cat). It matches the Rfam family "tRNA". Rfam says of the family: Transfer RNA (tRNA) molecules are approximately 80 nucleotides in length. Their secondary structure includes four short double-helical elements and three loops (D, anti-codon, and T loops). Lineage: Eukaryota; Metazoa; Chordata; Mammalia; Carnivora; Felidae. The record is from Rfam by way of RNAcentral.